Molecule: long non-coding RNA, 515 nt
Organism: Bombina bombina (fire-bellied toad)
Lineage: Eukaryota; Metazoa; Chordata; Amphibia; Anura; Bombinatoridae
Exons: 2
Source: RefSeq, a predicted model, not a curated record
CUGCAAAGCUCUCAUCUGUUCCUCCCAGACCUAACAGUAACCUCUCCUACCAAGUUGUAAGUAGAUUGUUAUCUAAACAUUGUUCACUGCUCUGAAAACCGGAUCCAGUCCUUUCUUCAUCUGCAACUAAGUUGUUCACUGGCUUGAAGAUUGCUGUCAUCAUUUGAGGCUACAAUACCCACCCAGGUCCAUUGAAAGUGGAUUAAAAGUUGUAUUAUCAUGCUGAACUGGGAAUAUUCAUCAGGAACAGUCCGAAAGAUGGAUAGGAAGUGGAGAUGGUCAUUAAAAACAGGAUUCAGUGCACCAUAACUUAUCUAAAGUUAAAACAAUUAUAGUCAAAUUAUUUAUAUGUAUACUGAUUUAUAUAUAAAUGUACGUAUGUCAUUUAAUUCUAUAUAAAAAAAAUAUAUUUUAUUAAAAGAAGAACAAUUUUUUCUUUCCCAAAGAAGCUGUAAAUUCUAUUUGAGGAUCAGUUUAAUCCACUCUAUGAAAAAAAUAAAAAAAUGUAACCAUCA